RNAcentral lists this ribosomal RNA (642 nucleotides) under Triticum aestivum (bread wheat). RNAcentral describes it as "partial small subunit ribosomal RNA". The record is from RNAcentral. Lineage: Eukaryota; Viridiplantae; Streptophyta; Magnoliopsida; Poales; Poaceae.
AUGAGGCCCGGGGCCCAGUUCCUCACCACGAGCCACCGCGCCGGAGCGCCGACGGCGGCGCCGGCGCAUGGGCUGAUCAACGGGACGGCGCCGCCGCACUCGACGUGGCAGUCGCCGGUGCCGUACCUGUUCGGCGGGCUGGCGGCGAUGCUCGGGCUCAUCGCCUUGGCUCUGCUCAUCCUCGCCUGCUCCUACUGGAAGCUCUCCGGGUACCUCGACGGUGACCGGGACGGCCAGGCCGCGGGGGACGCGGACGAGGAGAAGGGCUCGGCGUCUGGCGCGGCCAGGCCGGCCAUGGAUUUCCAGGAGCACGUGGUGGUCAUCAUGGCCGGCGACGAGCGACCAACGUUCCUCGCCAAGCCGGUCACCAGCCGGGUGGCCGAGGUGGAGGUUGGGGCCGCGGCGGCUCCUGAGGCGAGCGCGCGCGCCGGCGACGACGGGCAGGAGAAGGUGGACGAGCAGGCCUGCGAGGUGUGUUCGCAUCUCGGGGCCGACUCGGCGACCCCGGGCCGUGAUCACCACGACGAGGCAGGCCAGAGCUGCGACCAUGACCAUGACGCGGCGAGCCGGAGCCACAACCACCUCCAUGACCAUGACCAUGAGAGCAGCGGCACGACGGCACUGCAAGAAAGCUCGCAAUAA